AAGCCGGGCUCAUGGCAGGCAGCGCAGCGGCAGGCCCGGGGCUAUCCGCCCACCCACGGCCCACGCCCGGCCCCAGCCCCAGGGGGUGAGCACUGCUGGGCCCAUCGCUCUCUGUCCCUGGCUUCUUCUCAAGGUGAGAGUCGCCAGGACCGGAGGGAACCUGAAAGUCCAUCUAUUUCAAGCCCUUCAUCUUACAACCGGAGCCUGAGGCUUGGUGCUGGCAGGGAAGGUGGAGACUGCUGGUAGAGCUCAAGUGAGGGACCAGCUCUGCUAACAGGACACAGUGGCCAGGGUGCUGCUGGGACCGGGUCUGGGCUGUGCCACCCACUUUCCGAGUGAUCUGGUGGAGUCACCCAGCUCCGAGUAGGAUGAAAUUCCUGCUUGGCCACACUCCUGCACCUCAAACCCCAGGAUUUAGGGUUGCUGAAGAUUUUGCAACACCCGGAGAAGCACAGUAACUUCAUGAGAAGUUACUGACCCCGCCUUUCUCGGAACACAAUAAUCCCCUUUCCAGACACAUUUCUCUUGAAAACUCCAGUGACAGGGAACUUACACCUGUCAGAGCACCCUAUACUUGCCCUAGACCAGUGAUGGCGAACCUAUGACACGCGUGUCAGAGGUGACACACGAACUCAUUUUUUUGGUUGAUUUUUCUUUGUUAAAUGGCAUUGACAUAUAUAAAAUAAAUAUCAAAAAUAUAAAUCUUUGUUUUACUAUGGUUGCAAAUAUCAAAAAAUUUCUAUAUGCGACACGGCACCAGAGUUAAGUUAGGGUCUUUCAAAAUGCUGACAUGCCGAGCUCAAAAGGUUCGCUAUCACUGCCCUAGACAGUUUGGGCUGAAACAUUCAUUUCUGGGGUGGUCCACUUUAAGGUACAUCUUCCCCAAUUUCAUAGGAGCUCCGUGAGGGCGAGAACUUUGUCCUGGUCCAUCACUGCUCCAUCCCAGCGCCUCCCAGUGUCCAGACCAUGGUUAAAGAGCCCCGAAAAGACCAGCCAGUUCUUUCUCAUGUGAACUGAGAAUCUGUCUCCUAGAGCUUCUCCCCAUGGGCCCUCACUGUUUCCCCACAAAUCCUUCAUGGAGCCCACAUGAAACAAGGCUCUUUCUUCCUUCCCCUAACAAUGAUCAUGUCCUCCCCCAAGUCUGGCAACCACCCCAAGAAGUCUUCUCUUUUCUCGGCUAAGCAUUCCUGGUGAGUCAUGACUUGGAGGCCUCCCCCCCUCUGAAGCCUUCAGUGGCUCCCUAGGCCAAUUACAGUUUCAGGUCCUUAGUCUGGCACGUAAGGCCCUCCAGCGUAUGCUCAGCCUUAACUCCAUUAUUUUCUACCGCUCUUCCACGGACUCUGCAGCAAAACAUGUCUAAUCGUUUUCCCUGGAGCCCAACCCGAUUGUUCCUGCCUCUACCCUGUUUAUAAAAUGCCCUGCCUGGAACAUUUCCCUAGUUCAUCUGCAUCCAGAUCUCAUCAUUACUAAGGCUGAACGCAAUUCUCCCCCUCCACCUCAUCAUUUCAGUGUAUUGUGGAAAGAGAGUUUGCAAUGAACUAAGCGAACCCAGGUUUAAGUCUCGGAGACACAUUCUAACUACUAGGAACACCUAUUUUGACAACCAAAUGGACUACGGGCAAAUGGUUUAACUUCGCUGAGCCUAAGGUUUCUCCUCUGAAAAAUGGGUCUAAUGAUACCCGCACUGCUCACCCUCCAGAGCAUUCUGGGGAAUCAGGAGACGAUACACAUAAAAGCCCAUUGAAAAUGACAAGAUGCACUGACUUCCCUACUUCUGGGCGUCUUGAAUAUGCCCCGACUUAGAUCAAACAAUACACAAUCUAAAUCGGUUAGAUGAUUCUAGAAUUAGUGGAGUGAUCACCAUGUAAGGGAUACAAAUGUUGAAUCACUGUAUUGUACACCGGAAAUUAAUAUAACCAAUAUGAAAUUGUAUAACAAUGAUACCUAAAUAAAAAUAAAAAUGUUGAAGUCUGUUAGGAUGGAGGGGGUCUAAGAUGUGGUGAGGGAGGUUGGUUUGACUUUGGGUGGUGGGCACACAGUGCAGUAGGCAGGUCUUGUAUCAUAGAAAUGUACACGUGAAACCUAUAUGAUCUUAUUAACCAAUGUCAACCCAAUAAAUGUAAUUUUAAAAAUAAACAAAGAAAAACCUGGCAGUGGUAAGGUUCUUAAGGAGGGAGCACAGGCGUCUGCAUGGCCAACAUUUCCCGCCCCCAGGCUCUGUGUUAAGAGUUGCACCUCAAACUGGGUGGAGGGGAGCUAUGGGGGGAAAAAGGGGGAACAACUGUA
Molecule: long non-coding RNA, 2286 nt
Organism: Myotis daubentonii (Daubenton's bat)
Lineage: Eukaryota; Metazoa; Chordata; Mammalia; Chiroptera; Vespertilionidae
Source: RefSeq, a predicted model, not a curated record